UACGUAGGGGGCGAGCGUUAUCCGGAUUCAUUGGGCGUAAAGAGCGCGUAGGCGGCUUGUUAAGCGAGAUGUGAAAACCGGGGGCUUAACCCGCGGCCUGCAUCUCGAACUGGCAGGCUUGAGUCUGGUAGAGGAGUGUGGAAUUCCCAGUGUAGCGGUGAAAUGCGCAGAUAUUGGGAGGAACACCAGUGGCGAAGGCGGCACUCUGGGCCACGACUGACGCUGAGGCGCGAAAGCUAGGGGAGCGAAC
Molecule: ribosomal RNA, 250 nt
Filed under: uncultured bacterium
Lineage: Bacteria
Description: partial 16S ribosomal RNA
Rfam family: Bacterial small subunit ribosomal RNA
Source: RNAcentral